CAAAUCUCAACUUUAUUAGAAGAGACGCAUUUAUUAGAUAAAAAGCCAAUGCAUGCUUUUACAGUAUGAAAAUUGGUGAUUUAUAAUAACUUAGCAAAUCGCAAAGUGAAAACAGGCGAUAAAUCAUUCAAGUUUCUGACCUAUCAGCUUUCGACGGUAUGGUAUUGGCUUACCGUGGCAGUGACGGUUAACGGGGGAUUAGGGUUCGAUUCCGGAGAGGGAGCCUGAGAAACGGCUACCACAUCUAAGGAAGGCAGCAGGCGCGCAAAUUACCCAAUUCUAACAGUUUGAGAGAGGUAGUAACAAGAAAUAACAAUACAAGGCAGUUAAAAUGCUUUGUAAUUGGAAUGAUAGAAAUUUAAACCCUUUUUAAAGUAUCAAUUGGAGGGCAAGUCUGGUGCCAGCAGCCGCGGUAAUUCCAGCUCCAAUAGCGUAUAUUAAAAUUGUUGCAGUUAAAAAGCUCGUAGUUGAAGUUCUGCUAAAAGUAACCGGUCUGCUUUGAAUAAAAGUGGUAUCUUGGUAUGUAUUUAGCAAUGAUGUCCUUUGAAGUGUUUUUUACUUUAUUGUAAUAAAGCAUAUUCAGGACUUUUACUUUGAGAAAAUUAGAGUGUUUCUAGCAGGCCAACGCUUUGAAUACUGCAGCA
RNAcentral lists this ribosomal RNA (644 nucleotides) under Hepatozoon canis. RNAcentral's name for it is "SSU rRNA". It matches the Rfam family "Eukaryotic small subunit ribosomal RNA", at positions 174 to 809 of the family's 1831-position model. Lineage: Eukaryota; Apicomplexa; Hepatozoidae. The record is from RNAcentral.